This 815-nucleotide ribosomal RNA is filed under the name uncultured archaeon. Its description in RNAcentral is "bacterial SSU rRNA". It matches the Rfam family "Archaeal small subunit ribosomal RNA", at positions 27 to 850 of the family's 1478-position model. The record is from RNAcentral.
CUGCUAUCAGAGUGGGACUAAGCCAUGCGAGUCAACGUAGCAAUACGUGGCACACGGCUCAGUAACACGUGGUCAACAUACCCAGAGGACGUGGAUAACCUCGGGAAACUGAGGAUAAACCGCGAUAGACCAUAAUGUCUGGAAUGAUUUAUGGUUCAAAUCUAUAUGGCCUUUGGAUUGGACUGCGACCGAUCAGGCUGUUGGUGAGGUAAUGGCCCACCAAACCUGUAACCGGUACGGGCUCUGAGAGGAGGAGCCCGGAGAUGGGUACUGAGAAAAGGACCCAGGCCCUAUGGGGCGCAGCAGGCGCGAAACCUCUGCAAUAGGCGAAAGCCUGACAGGGUUAUUCUGAGUGAUCUCCGUUAAGGAAAUCUUUUGGCACCUCUAAAAAUGGUGCAGAAUAAGGGGUGGGCAAGCCUGGUGUCAGCCGCCGCGGUAAUACCAGCGCCCCGAGUGGUCGGGACGAUUAUUGGGCCUAAAGCAUCCGUAGCCGGUUUUACAAGUCCUCCGUUAAAUCCACCUGCUUAACAGAUGGGCUGCAGAGGAUACUAUAGAGCUAGGAGGCGGGAGAGGCAAGCGGUACUUAGUGGGUAGGGGUAAAAUCCGUUGAUCCACUGAAGACCACCAGUGGCGAAGGCGGCUUGCCAGAACGCGCUCGACGGUGAGGGAUGAAAGCUGGGGGAGCAAACCGGAUUAGAUACCCGGGUAGUCCCAGCUGUAAACGAUGCAGGCUAGGUGUUUGGACGGCCACGUGCCGUUCUAGUGCCGCAGGGAAGCUGUUAAGUCUGCCGCCUGGGGAGUACGGUCGCAAGACU